UUUUUUGUGAAAUGGAAAGUUUCUGUUGAUAUUAAGGUUUCUUCACUGAACCAUCAAUGCCAAUAAAGAAACAUUAUUUUGAAAAAUACUUCCAUUUUAGCACAACUUAUCACUAUAUGACUCCGUAUUUAAAUGCAAUGUACUAUGGACAAUUACUAUGGACAAUAAUGUUUCACAUUUUAUUAAACCUGAUCAACUUGUCAUUUUUUAUUUGAUCUUUAAUAAACUGUAUGUGCUCAACAUAAGAUAUGAGAUUUUUAUUUCAAUAAUCUCUAUCAAUUAAACCUAGUAAAUGAAUUAGGGUUAUUAAUAAGUCUGAAAUUAUCCAAGUUAAUAAACAAUAACAUAUAAAAAUAAUCAAAAUAAAAGCAAUUCAGUAUAAUAUUGGGGUAAAACAAACUGUAAACUGUGAAAUGUAGGAUAACUGAUUGUGAUCUCGGGUUCGUAGUGGCCUCUGGUGGUGAACUGGUGAAACUGCAUGUGUUGGGGCAUCUGGUUCGUUGUUUCUCUAGUUCAUCUAAAAAGUUAAUCUUCCUCCAAGCUUCUUUGCGACUAAGCAAGCGCAUCAAUGUUGAUCAUUUUGGAAGACAGGCAGGUAACGUUAGACGUGAUGUUCUAAUUUCAAGCUAAUGAGUCUUCAUCAGCUGCAACAACUCGAGUGAUAACUUGUCCAACUCCACGAGAGGCAUCCAGCUGCAGCCCCGCAGACUCACUUCUUGCUAGACACCAGUGGCUGGACACCAGUGGAUGGAUAGCAGACGUCAUUUCCGUAUCGUCAUUCACUUUUCAAAUUGAUGUAAUUUCCGUACCGUCGUUCACUUUUCAAUUUUGACGCGCCAUGCAGAUGUCAGCGGUGUGGUGAAUGUCAAAAAACUGCCCCAGGCUGUAAGAGACAUGUGUGUCCCUUUUAAAAUUGUACAAUGCAGAAAUUGCAGAUGUUUUUUCAAAGACUGGGUGGGGUACUGUGGAGACCUGCGAGGGUUUUAUACAGACCCUGAAUUUCCUGAGCAUUGCCCAGACUGCCAGUUUUAGGGGGCAGGAAUGAGGUGUGGUGUGCACAGUGUGCAAUAGUCUAUUUGGAACUGUUCAUGUUUUAUUUUCUCUUGAAAUAGGGCCUGACUGUGGCAUCUUCGUUCUGAUGGUCAGAUUUGACAAGUUUUACUAAUUAGAUUGUGUAAUUUCCAAUAAAUAUUGCAAAACCAUGAAGUGUUAAUUUGAUCUGGAUUGUUUGGUAAAUUGUCUGAUCAUGUGAAUCUACAUAUAUUUUCAAAACAGAAGUGGUUACAUUUACAAAAAAAAAAAAGAAUUGAAUAUCCAAAUGGGCAAGGCAAAAAACUGUGGUCAAUUAACAUGUACAAGUCUGAAGUAUUGACAAAACGUUAUAGUCCAUUUAUCUAGGCUGAAUUAAGGUCACAAAAAAUAGUGAUAUGAUCUGAACAAUAUAUAUUUUCAAGGUGGUUCUUGUGAAUGCAGUUUGCAUGAAUUAUUGAUUUUAUAAUAUUAAGUAUAUUAUUGAGAAUUGUUUAAUGUAAAGAGAUAUGAUAAAUAUCAUAUUUCAAUUUGCACACAGCUUUUAUAUUAUAUAUUUUAAGUCAUAAAAGUAAAAUGACAAUACGGAAAAGACGUAUGC
This is a long non-coding RNA of Carassius gibelio (silver crucian carp), 1630 nucleotides long. RefSeq lists it as uncharacterized. The record is from RefSeq and is a predicted model, not a curated record. The transcript has 3 exons. Lineage: Eukaryota; Metazoa; Chordata; Actinopteri; Cypriniformes; Cyprinidae.